UGUUCCCGGGCCUUGUACACACCGCCCGUCACACCACGAAAGUUGGCAAUACCCGAAGCCGGUGGCCUAACCCGUAAGGGAGGGAGCCGUCUAAGGUAGGGUUGAUGAUUGGGGUG
Molecule: ribosomal RNA, 116 nt
Filed under: uncultured bacterium
Lineage: Bacteria
Description: partial 16S ribosomal RNA
Rfam family: Bacterial small subunit ribosomal RNA
Source: RNAcentral